CAGUCAUGCCGGCGGGAAUCAACUUAGGGGAAACUCUGGGUGCAUUUCUUCGUUUGGCAGGUUAGCGUCGAUUUUGGAUGCCAUAAAAUAAUUGGGGGAAGGUAGCUCCUUCGGGAGUGUUAUAGCCCUUGGUAGAUGUGAUGUCUGGGAUCGAGGAUUGCGACGGAUACCCUUCGGGGCUAGCCGCCUGAUCUCUAAUU
Molecule: ribosomal RNA, 200 nt
Filed under: uncultured Glomeromycotina
Lineage: Eukaryota; Fungi; Glomeromycota
Description: partial large subunit ribosomal RNA
Source: RNAcentral